UACACGUGGAUAACAUGCCCUUAGGAGGGGGAUAAUCUCGAGAAAUUGAGAAUAAUACCCCAUAGGUCAUGAAUGCUGGAAUGCUUCAUGGCUCAAAGUUCCGGCGCCUAAGGAUUGGUCUGCGGCCUAUCAGGUUGUAGUGGGUGUAACGGACCCACUAGCCAAUGACGGGUAUGGGCCUUGAGAGAGGGAGCCCAGAGAUGGACUCUGAGACACGAGUCCAGGCCCUACGGGGCGCAGCAGUCGCGAAACCUUCACACUGGGGGCAACCCUGAUGAGGGAAUUCCUAGUGCCUGCAUUUUGUGUAGGCUUUUCUCUAGUGUAGAUAGCUAGAGGAAUAAGGGCCGGGUAAGACGGGUGCCAGCAGCCGCGGUAAUACGAU
RNAcentral lists this ribosomal RNA (382 nucleotides) under uncultured archaeon. RNAcentral's name for it is "bacterial SSU rRNA". It matches the Rfam family "Archaeal small subunit ribosomal RNA", at positions 95 to 479 of the family's 1478-position model. The record is from RNAcentral.